Molecule: ribosomal RNA, 253 nt
Filed under: uncultured bacterium
Lineage: Bacteria
Description: partial 16S ribosomal RNA
Rfam family: Bacterial small subunit ribosomal RNA
Source: RNAcentral
UACGGAGGGUGCAAGCGUUAUCCGGAAUGAUUGGGCGUAAAGCGUCCGCAGGUGGCUAUGUAAGUCUGCUGUUAAAGAGUGAGGCUCAACCUCAUAAGAGCAGUGGAAACUACAUGGCUAGAGUGCGUUCGGGGCAGAGGGAAUUCCUGGUGUAGCGGUGAAAUGCGUAGAGAUCAGGAAGAACACCGGUGGCGAAAGCGCUCUGCUAGGCCGCAACUGACACUCAUGGACGAAAGCUAGGGGAGCGAAUGGG